This 297-nucleotide long non-coding RNA is filed under the name Lathyrus oleraceus (garden pea). RNAcentral describes it as "Pisum sativum (pea) long non-coding RNA (PSAT_LNC000111)". Lineage: Eukaryota; Viridiplantae; Streptophyta; Magnoliopsida; Fabales; Fabaceae. The record is from RNAcentral.
CCAAACCCGUUAAAAACUUUAUAUUUAAGGUUUGCAUUAAAAUUUCCAUGUGGCAGCUUGGAAUUAGAGAGAUGAGGAAGGCAAGGUGUGGGUCAUGUGAUCGUUGGAGGAGGCUGAAGGUAUGACUAAUUCGGUUAACGUAGUCGCAUGCUGAUUGGUUUUCAAAGAUUUUUCAUUUGAAUCAUGUGGUUGGAGCUCCUUUGAUGGUACGUCAAAGCAUGAUAAAGUGGUAGAAAUUGAUUUGUUGACUUCUCAAAAGGUGGAAUGAGGUGAUGUUGGAGUGUGAGAGGGGAUGGU